GCCCCGGUGGCACAAUUGGUUAGCGCGUGGGCCUUUUAAGAAGAUAAAUCUCCUAAAAUUACAAGCCCAAGGUUGAGGGUUCAAGCCCCUCCCGAGGCG
Molecule: transfer RNA, 99 nt
Filed under: Sclerotinia borealis F-4128
Lineage: Eukaryota; Fungi; Ascomycota; Leotiomycetes; Helotiales; Sclerotiniaceae
Rfam family: tRNA
About the family: Transfer RNA (tRNA) molecules are approximately 80 nucleotides in length.
Source: Rfam by way of RNAcentral